GCUUUCAUCCUUUGUAGUAUAAACCUCAACUAUAGGAUCAAACAGCACCUUUUAGAGAUCACACCCCUUUUAGGCAGGACGGAGCCAAGAUCCAAAACAACAUGGAUUAAACUUUUUUUGAUAAAAAUUUCAAAAUGUACGAAAAUAAAUAAAUUAAGGGCCAAUUACAUAUAAGUCCAUUUUGAGACAUUUUUUCCCACAUAAAUCCACCCCAACAUUUUUACCCACAUAAGUCCACCCAAGUCUAAAUAAGGUUUUGUAUUAAGUAUUGAAGUUCAACAUAAUUACAGACUGCCAUCCAACAAAAAAAAUUAGAUUUUCUCCCUUAUAUUUACAAGAAUGCCACUAGUAUAAAAAGUCAACAACCACUCAUUUUGGAACAGUCUCCGGCGGACCUCCGGCGAGGUUUCCGGCGGACCUCCAGAGAGGUUUCCGGCCGACCUCCGGCGAGAUUUCCGACCGACCUCCGGCGAGGUUUCUGUCCGACCUCCGACGAUGACAAAAAUUACUACUACCAGCUAUAAAAGCUACUACCACCAACUACAAAAGCUACUACCACCGCCUACAAAAGAUACUACUGUGAGGUUUCCGAUGAACACAAAAGCUACUACCACCGCCUACAAAAGCUACUACUGUGAGGUUUCCGACGAACACAAAAACUACUACCACCAGCUACAAAAGCUACUACUACCGCCUACAAAAGCUACUACUGUGAGGUUUUCGACGAACACAAAAACUACUACCACUAGCCACAAAAGCUACUACCACCAGCUACAAAAGCUACUAUCACCGCCUACAAAAGCUACUAUUGUGAGGUUUCCGACGAUCACAAAAAAUACUACAAUCAGCCACAAAAGCUACUACCACCGCCUACAAAAGCUACUACCGAGAUAAACAAAAGCUACCACCAACAUAAACAAAAGCUACUACCCCUAUAUACAAAAGCUACUGCCACAACAAAAGUUAUUACUGACAUAAACAAAAGCUACUACCCCUAUAUACAAAAACUACUACUGCCAGACAUAAAAGCUAUUGCCUCAUCAAUAUAAGCUACUACCGUUACCAACAAAAAAUACUACUCUAACUAACAAAAGCUACUACUUUCACUGACAAAAACUACUACAAGAUAUUUACUACUGUUUGAACUCUCACAAUCUUCACCUCCACUUGAUUUCCUGCAAUUCGAAUCAAAAUCACGAUCCGUCAACACAUAUGCAAAUCACACUCACAUAUCUCGCGUUCGGAUUUACAGAAUCGUAGAGAGAAACAAAAAUUAAAAGAAAGAACUGCAUUACCUCUGUGAGAUCUAAAGAAUUAGAAGCAGAUCGAGAUUGAUUUGACUCCGGCGAUCUUGACGUCGAGAGGUAGUAACUCCAGACGGCGAGGACGAUCAUUUGCGCACCACCACGUAAUCAAACAGUGUGUUCCUUCAACACCUUUUUCAGAGUUCUGACCUCCAUCCAAUNNNNNNNNNNNNNNNNNNNNUUUUUGACGAAAGAAAAAGCUGAGGGUAUUUUGGGCAUAGUCUAAAGGUAACAUGAUGGAUUUGGGCUGUAAAGUGGACUUAUAUGAGUAAAAAUAUUUAGGUGGACUUACACUGGAGAGAAUGUCUCGAUGUGGACUUUUAUGAAAUUUGCUAUUAAUAAUGUUUGUAUCUGAGUAUCUAGAGUAAUGCUAGGUGAAUCACCAUUUAGGGAACCACCUAGAGCCCACCUGACGUGACGGCUGAUGUGGCAUAUCCAUGCCAUCAAAACUUAAUUUCUUACUCUUUUAUAUUUAUGUUUUUCUUAAUUACUAUAAUUCCUUUUUCUUUUAGUUUUGUAAUUACUUAAUUCUGUUUUUAUCUCUAAACCCUAUUUUUUUAGUUUGUUUCAUAGCUUCUACUUCGACGUCUACAGACGUUUUCUUUUACUCUUCUCAUGUCACGUCGAUCUCCUCUCAAUUGAUCGGCUUUUUUUUUAUUUUUUAUCUUGUGAUAUAAUCUGUAAACGUCUUCAAGUUUUCUUUUGUACAUUCGCAUAUGCGAGGUCUUUCAUUCCAAAUUAAAUUCUGCAAUUUGUCAAACCUCGUAUUUCGUUUUCAAUUGAUCGGCUCCGAUCCUCUAUUUGAUUUAGGUUUCCUCACAAGCCUCCCCUUUGACUUUUUUUUUCUUUUUCAUGUAUUAAAUACGAAUAACAUGUUUGGAAUAGGGUUCAUGGAACGUGAAUUUGAAUUUUGGCUGGUUCUUGUGUUCUUAUUAGAUCUUGAAUUAUCUCUAGAACUCUUGUUAAUUUCUACUAUAGCUUAGAACAGGAGCUGCACAAAUGAAAGGGGGAUAUUUUUUUAUUUUUUUUGGAUAUGAGGAAGAUGGAGUUCAUGGGUUGGUUUCUUACGAGAAGAAGUCAUUUUGAUCACAGUCCUUUCUUCAGCCUUCGUUAUUAUGGCAGGCCACCACAGCAAGCAGCUUUAUUCUCUAAACCCUAUUU
This 2465-nucleotide long non-coding RNA is filed under the name Fragaria vesca (wild strawberry). RNAcentral describes it as "long non-coding RNA (FVES_LNC001148)". Lineage: Eukaryota; Viridiplantae; Streptophyta; Magnoliopsida; Rosales; Rosaceae. The record is from RNAcentral.